This 940-nucleotide non-coding RNA is filed under the name Pseudanthias dispar (peach fairy basslet). RNAcentral's name for it is "12S ribosomal RNA". It matches the Rfam family "Bacterial small subunit ribosomal RNA". Lineage: Eukaryota; Metazoa; Chordata; Actinopteri; Perciformes; Anthiadidae. The record is from RNAcentral.
CAAAGGUUUGGUCCUGACUUUUCUAUCAGCUCUAGCUAAGUUUAUACAUGCAAGUCUCCGCGCCCCUGUGAGGAUGCCCUGACCCUCCUCAACCGGAGCUAAGGAGCAGGUAUCAGGCACAGUUUAUAGCCCACGACAUCUUGUUUAGCCACACCCCCAAGGGAACUCAGCAGUGAUAAACAUUAAGCCAUAAGUGAAAACUUGACUUAACUAUUGCUAAGAGGGCCGGUAAACCUCGUGCCAGCCACCGCGGUUACACGAGGGGCUCAAGUUGACAGCCUGCGGCGUAAAGAGUGGUUAGGAUAAAAUAGUAGUAGAGCCGAACAUAGACUACGUUGUUAUACACUAACGGCAACAGGAAGCCCAAUUACGAAAGUAGCUCUAUACAACUGACGCCACGGAAGCUAGGAAACAAACUGGGAUUAGAGACCCCACUAUGCCUUGCCCCAAACAUUGAUAGUUUACCACACCCACUAUCCGCCAGGGAACUACAAGUUCCACUUGAAACCCAAAGGACUUGGCGGUGCUUCAAACCCAUCUAGAGGAGCCUGUCCUGCAACCGAUAAUCCCCGUUUAACCUUACCUUUUCUUGUUCAUCCCGCCUAUAUACCGCCGUCGCAAGCUUACCCUUUGAGGGCCUCGCAGUAAGCAAAGUUAGCAUUGACUCCAUACGUCAGGUCGAGGUGUAGCGCAUGUAAAGGAAAGAGAUGGGCUACAUUUACUAGUCUAGUAAAUUACGAAUUAUGCCUUGAAACAGGUAUAUGAAGGAGGAUUUAGUAGUAAGUAGAAAUCAGAGUGUUCUACUGAAAUUUGGCACUGAAGCGCGUACACACCGCCCGUCACUCUCCCCGAAAAAAGACCUAAUAUUAAAUUAAAAGCCUAACAACAUAAAGGGGAGGCAAGUCGUAACAUGGUAAGUGUACCGGAAGGUGCACUUGGA